Molecule: ribosomal RNA, 459 nt
Filed under: uncultured bacterium
Lineage: Bacteria
Description: partial 16S ribosomal RNA
Rfam family: Bacterial small subunit ribosomal RNA
Source: RNAcentral
CCUACGGGUGGCAGCAGUGAGGAAUAUUGGUCAAUGGACGAGAGUCUGAACCAGCCAAGUAGCGUGAAGGAUGACUGCCCUAUGGGUUGUAAACUUCUUUUAUAAAGGAAUAAAACGAGGCACGUGUGCCUUUUUGCAUGUACUUUAUGAAUAAGGAUCGGCUAACUCCGUGCCAGCAGCCGCGGUAAUACGGAGGAUCCGAGCGUUAGCCGGGUUUAUUGGGUUUAAAGGGAGCGUAGAUGGGUUGUUAAGUCAGUUGUGAAAGUUUGCGGCGCAACCGUAAAAUUGCAAUUGAUACUGGCAGUCGUGAGUACAGUUGAGGUAGGCGGAAUUCGUGGUGUAGCGGUGAAAUGCUUAGAUAUCACGAAGAACCCCGAUUGCGAAGGCAGCUUACUAAACUGUGACUGACAUUGAUGCUCGAAAGUGUGGGUAUCAAACAGGAUUAGAUACCCCAGUAGU